Long non-coding RNA from Anguilla anguilla (European eel), 1515 nucleotides. RefSeq lists it as uncharacterized. The record is from RefSeq and is a predicted model, not a curated record. The transcript is spliced from 4 exons. Lineage: Eukaryota; Metazoa; Chordata; Actinopteri; Anguilliformes; Anguillidae.
GAAAUAUAUGCCCACCCCCCCCAGAGAGAGAUGAGCGGUGUAAUCUAUUUAAUGGGCUCAGGGUUGUGUUUUCCAUCAGCUCUCUGGUGCAGAGCCAGAGCCAGCCCUGCAGUGCUGACGCAGGUGCUUUCUCUGCACUAAAGCAGAAGUGCAUGCCCCCACAAUGCACUGCAGCGAGGGUCACACAGGGUCGACGGUGAAACGAAUGCUUUCUGCAUUCAGCGAACAACACUCAUCGGAGCAGUCUGCACAGAUUUCAACCCAUUCACGCAACAGAUUAUUUGAAGCAAUUCAGGUUAAGUAGCCUGCUGUACCUAGCUCAAGGGAACAAUGGCACUAACUCAUCUGGGACUUAAACUUAUAACCUUUGCGUUAUGGGUCCAGUUUUCUGGCCGUUACACAGUUACCCUGUUGGGACGCUGUGGGAGUGCGGCUGUGUGUGUGAUUGCAUCACAAGGCUCCAGCGCGGGGUCACACGGUGGGGAAGCUUUAGCAGGCAGAGGCUUGCGUAUGGGUCGGGGGGGGUGUCGUCUCCAGAUGGACCCCAACCCCCUCACCCCCCCUCAGCCUGGCGCUACCCAUCACCCCAUCCCAGCGUCCUCAGCGGCACCGCGCACGGACGCCACAUCACCACCCUCACCUCCCGCUGGAAGAGGAAGUGGCGAUCACCAUGACAACCGCACUGGAGAUGCGGCGGCCUUGCUCUGAUGAUGGUGUGUGCGGUGAGCGGCAGGUACUGCGCCUGCAGCUCGCUGCAGCACUGCGGGGGGAGGAAUCCGCAUUUAUAUGCAGCGCAUGCACGCCCGCUGCCCGCUGAUCGCCAUCCCCCCCCCAACCCCCCCGAGGCGGCGCGACGCGGACCGCGUGCUAUUCCCAAACGCAAACGGUCACUGCCGGCUCUGUUCUCCCUCUCCAUGGCAACGGCAGGGACAGCGGGUCCGCUGAAGAACGCGAGUGCAUCAGGGCUCUUUGUGUGAGUGAGAGACAGAGAGAGAGAGACACACAGCGAAUGGAGACUCUGCUUUCCAGUGUUAGAAUCAACACUGGGAAUUAACACUAGGAAUUAACACUGAGAGUUAACACUGGGAAUUCACACUGAGAGUUAACACUGUGAAUCAACACUGUGUGAGCUUGGAGAAUCAACACAAAGUCAACUCUGAGCCAACACUGUGAUGGCAUUGAGAAUCGACACAGUACGCACUAGCACUGCCAGAGAACACUGAGAAUCAACACUGUGAUGUCACUGUCCUUCUGUGUGGCAACUGAGGACAUCCCACCUGAAGUUCUUACUCAGAGGUGAAGAUCCUGUAUUUGGAGUACGCAAGACAUACAGCUCCUGCAGGCUGCAGGUCCGGGCUCGCAGGCAGGAGGCAGAAAAAGGCGCCACAGGUGCAGCUGAACAGGUGAGAUCUGUAGCCCUGGGGCACUGCUGUAUACAGAGGAUGAAAGACAACAUGGAGGAACUGUCAGUUAAACCUAGGCCAUGAAUCUAAAAGAGGGGGAAAAAAAAACAUU